This 452-nucleotide long non-coding RNA is filed under the name Lathyrus oleraceus (garden pea). RNAcentral's name for it is "Pisum sativum (pea) long non-coding RNA (PSAT_LNC020419)". The record is from RNAcentral. Lineage: Eukaryota; Viridiplantae; Streptophyta; Magnoliopsida; Fabales; Fabaceae.
UGCUAUGAUGCAAAUGAUGCAGACAAGACUGGCAGGCUGUGCGUCUCGGAACACAGGAUCAAAGCUUCAUCUUGACUCGGAACCACAAUUCAUCUGAAACCCAAAGUCAUCUGAUAAACUGUCAUCUGAAGAACCAAGAAUCACCAACAGGACCACAAGUCACCACCAAGUCACCGACAAGUCACCAACUGUACCUGUAAUAAUGAUCAUUCCCUCCCCACUCACGGGUGUCAUCUAGGCCAGGGUAAGGUCGAAAGAAACGCAAGAUAAACAACCCUUUCAAGAAUAUCAUCCUGUGCACACCCGAUGUAUGCACCGAUAAUACCCCAUCAGAGUCUGAACUGCUCGUGAUAUCAAUGUUCCGCUAAGUGGCGCAUACCACCCGCUUCCCAUGAAUCACUCUAUUCCUAGGUUUCCUAGAUUUCACUCAUAGCCUGGGUAUUGGGCCUUUU